This 252-nucleotide ribosomal RNA is filed under the name uncultured bacterium. RNAcentral describes it as "partial 16S ribosomal RNA". It matches the Rfam family "Bacterial small subunit ribosomal RNA", at positions 524 to 776 of the family's 1533-position model. The record is from RNAcentral.
UACGUAGGUGACAAGCGUUGUCCGGAAUUAUUGGGCGUAAAGCGCGCGCAGGCGGUUAUGUAAGUCUGAUGUUAAAGCUCGGGGCUCAACCUCGGUUCGCAUUGGAAACUGCGUAACUUGAGUGCAGAAGAGGAAAGUGGUAUUCCACGUGUAGCGGUGAAAUGCGUAGAUAUGUGGAGGAACACCAGUGGCGAAGGCGACUUUCUGGUCUGUAACUGACGCUGAGGCGCGAAAGCGUGGGGAGCAAACAGG